GCCAAAACACACAACAAUUUAUUAGUACUUUUAUUUUUUUUCUAUGACAUAGGCAUAGUAUUAUUACAAAUAUUAUUCGAAUUUUAAUGUAGAUAAAAAUUCAGCGAUCGCAUUUAUGUUGACAAUAACACACUAUUAUAUCUUUUGAUUUCUUUUACUUCUGUUUGACACCAUUUUUUUACGAGCAAUCGUCGUUUCUCCUGUUAUUAUAAUAAAACAUAACCUUAGUUUUCAUAUUUAAAAUAAAAAAAAAAUCAUUUUUUGUAAAACAUAUGUUUAGAGAGAUUUAUGCAUAUUUAUUUAUAAAUAAAACUGAAAGUAUAUAUAUCCUUUUUAUCAUUCAUUAUUCUAGGAAAAUCAUUAAAGUCAAUAAUAUAGAACUAAGCAUAUAAUCUUUGUAGGUAUAUAAAAUAAAUGGCAUAAAAUAGAAAUUUAUUUUUGAAUGAUUAUAUAAUAUAUUAAUAAAGCUGUAAAUUUAAAUACAAACCGAAUAUAAGAAUUGUGAGCAUAACGAAACUAAUAAACCAAGGUUUGAAAGCAAAUUUCAUCUUUGAUAAUGA
RNAcentral lists this long non-coding RNA (560 nucleotides) under Brassica napus (rape). RNAcentral's name for it is "long non-coding RNA (BNAP_LNC003245)". The record is from RNAcentral. Lineage: Eukaryota; Viridiplantae; Streptophyta; Magnoliopsida; Brassicales; Brassicaceae.